Triticum aestivum (bread wheat) is the source of this 711-nucleotide long non-coding RNA. RefSeq lists it as uncharacterized. The transcript has 2 exons. Lineage: Eukaryota; Viridiplantae; Streptophyta; Magnoliopsida; Poales; Poaceae. The record is from RefSeq and is a predicted model, not a curated record.
CACAUUCCCCACCUCCUCUCAUGGUCACGCCCCCAAAUCCUCCCGAUCUGAUUGCCGCCGCCGCCACAAGGGAGAGAGGUGACGGCAACAACAAUGGCGGGCGAACUCCUUCUUUUCAAUGGUUCCACCCUCUCUCACGGUAGUCCCUCGCAAACUCUAUCGCCAGCGGUGGCAGCGGCGUCGAAUGGUGACAACCAGGAGUCCAAGAUGAAGCGGGCGGCGGUGGCAGCGACGGAGAACCAUCACCCUCCCAGUGACGCGAUCAGCGCCAUGGCAAUUUCCUAGCCACCCUUGCACGACCAUGAACCCGAGCGGAAGGGCCAUCUCAACUUGCCAGCUCGCCUGGCCGGCAUCCGUAGGUGAGAGGUCAUCCAAAUUUGGACGUCGUGCCUCCUCCGGUCCUCCCUCCAUGCCGGUUGUUCCUUCCUCUGCAACAACACACAGGACGUCACAUGGAUUGAUUCAUUGGCUGGGACGAGAACCAAGACAAGAUACGCUACUGCAAAAUCAACAUGGAGUUUGCCCUCUGAAUGACAUGUGUUCUGGAACUAAUGAUUUCCUGAUUCUAUUGCUAUGUAGUGCGUGUGUACUCAUUAAUCAACCCCGUAGGAGUAGGUUGUCAGAAAGAAAAGAAAAUGCCUUCAGGUUUGCUUCUAUAAUUUUGACACUAUAAUUUUUCUACAUCUAUGAACGUUAAAUUAAGCUUCUCCA